UUGUGAAACAAACUUAAUAAUAUUGUAGCCCAUUAAACCUCUCUAGACAAGAGCC
RNAcentral lists this ribosomal RNA (55 nucleotides) under Anaxyrus sp. 'velatus' (East Texas toad). RNAcentral's name for it is "partial 16S large subunit ribosomal RNA". Lineage: Eukaryota; Metazoa; Chordata; Amphibia; Anura; Bufonidae. The record is from RNAcentral.